Molecule: ribosomal RNA, 497 nt
Filed under: uncultured bacterium
Lineage: Bacteria
Description: partial 16S ribosomal RNA
Rfam family: Bacterial small subunit ribosomal RNA
Source: RNAcentral
GAUGAACGCUGGCGGCGUGCCUAAUACAUGCAAGUCGAGCGAACAGACGAGGAGCUUGCUCCUCUGACGUUAGCGGCGGACGGGUGAGUAACACGUGGAUAACCUACCUAUAAGACUAGGACAACUUCGGGAAACUGGAUAUAAUAUCGGAUAAUAUAGUGAACGGCAUGGAUCAAUAGUGAAAGACGGUUUUGCUGUCACUUAUAGAUGGAUCCGCGUCGCAUUAGCUAGUUGGUAAGGUAACGGCUUACCAAGGCGACGAUGCGUAGCCGACCUGAGAGGGUGAUCGGCCACACUGGGACUGAGACACGGCCCAGACUCCUACGGGAGGCAGCAGUAGGGAAUCUUCGACAAUGGGCGAAACCCUGACGGAGCAACGCCGCGUGAGUGAUGAAGGUCUUCGGGUCGUAAACCGCUUUUAUUCGGGAAGAACAAAUGUGUGAGUAUAUAUGCACGUCAUGACGGUACCUAAACAGAAAGCCACGGCUAACUACGUG